RNAcentral lists this ribosomal RNA (781 nucleotides) under uncultured Neocallimastigales. RNAcentral describes it as "partial large subunit ribosomal RNA". It matches the Rfam family "Eukaryotic large subunit ribosomal RNA", at positions 24 to 635 of the family's 3401-position model. The record is from RNAcentral. Lineage: Eukaryota; Fungi; Neocallimastigomycota; Neocallimastigomycetes; Neocallimastigales.
UAUCUCUGUAGAGUCUGCAUAUCAAUAAGCGGAGGAAAAGAAACUAACAAGGAUUCCCUAGUAACGGCGAGUGAAGCGGGGAAGAGCUCAAAUUUGAAAUCUUCAAGGUCUUCCCUUGACGAAUUGUAGUUUAUAAGAAGUGUUUUCUGUUAGAGAGUUUGGUAAAAGUUCUUUGGAAUAGGACAUCAUAGAGGGUGAGAAUCCCGUAUUUGAUCCACUUUCUACUAGCUUUGUGAUACACUUUCAACGAGUCGGAUUGUUUGGGAAUGCAGUCCAAAAUGGGUGGUAAAUUUCAUCUAAAGCUAAAUAUUGGCGAGAGACCGAUAGCGAACAAGUACCGUGAGGGAAAGAUGAAAAGAACUUUGAAAAGAGAGUUAAACAGUACGUGAAAUUGUCAAAAGGGAAGCGUUUGACACCAGUGUUGUUUUCUCGAAAAUCAAUUAAAAAAUGGCUCGAUUUUGUAUGUUGUAUUGACCUUAAAAGCUUUCUUCACUCUUUUCUUGUCUUUUUUAAUGCACUUUUCGUUUAACAAGUCAACAUCAGUUUCUUUUGUUGUAAAAGGGUCAUUGGAAGGUGGCUUUCUUUUCGGAGAAAGUGUUUAUAGCCUUUGAUCUCUGCAACCGGAGAGACUGAGGUCUGCAGCGUAGACUCUUCGGGGUUAGAUACAUUUGUGCUAAGCUAUAGCUUUUUAUAGACAACUUGUUGACUAUAUUUAGUCUUGUGGCUUACUCGCUUAUGCUAUUUUACCUACGCUUAGGAUGUUGAUGUGAUACUGCGAGCA